AACGAACGCUGGCGGCGCGCCUAAUACAUGCAAGUCGAGCGAGAAGACGUAGCAAUACGUUUGUAAAGCGGCGAACGGGUGAGGAAUACAUGGGUAACCCACCCUCGAGUGGGGAAUAACUAGCCGAAAGGUUAGCUAAUACCGCGUACGCUCCUUGGACUUCGGUUCAGGGAGGAAAGCGAUACCGUGGGUAUCGCGCUCUUGGAUGGGCUCAUGUCCUAUCAGCUUGUUGGUGAGGAACGGCUCACCAAGGCUUCGACGGGUAGCUGGUCUGAGAGGACGAUCAGCCACACUGGCACUGCGACACGGGCCAGACUCCUACGGGAGCAGCAGUAAGGAAUAUUGCGCAAUGGGCGAAAGCCUGACGCAGCGACGCCGC
Molecule: ribosomal RNA, 379 nt
Filed under: uncultured bacterium
Lineage: Bacteria
Description: bacterial SSU rRNA
Rfam family: Bacterial small subunit ribosomal RNA
Source: RNAcentral